Molecule: ribosomal RNA, 196 nt
Filed under: uncultured bacterium
Lineage: Bacteria
Description: partial 16S ribosomal RNA
Rfam family: Bacterial small subunit ribosomal RNA
Source: RNAcentral
CUCCUACGGGAGGCAGCAGUGGGGAAUAUUGGACAAUGGGGGGAACCCUGAUCCAGCGACGCCGCGUGGAGGAAGAAGUCCUUCGGGACGUAAACUCCUGAACUUACCGAACAAUAAGGAUGGUAGGGAAUGGCCAUCUGAUGAGGGUAGGUAAGGAAAAGCCCCGGCUAACUACGUGCCAGCAGCCGCGGUAAUA